RNAcentral lists this long non-coding RNA (1076 nucleotides) under Chinchilla lanigera (long-tailed chinchilla). RNAcentral describes it as "lncRNA (ENSCLAG00000025737.1)". Lineage: Eukaryota; Metazoa; Chordata; Mammalia; Rodentia; Chinchillidae. The record is from RNAcentral.
GGCUCCUUCCCGGAUGUGAGGUCCGCCAACGGCCGCGGCGGCGGCUUCGGGUCGGAGCUGCUGAGGUCCGGUUCUGAGGCGCCCGGCUUCAGGGACAGCCCGCCUCGGUGUGCAGUUGGUCACCAAGUCAACAGAGGAGCCACGCCUGGUCAGCAGAGGGAGGAGGCCAGGACCUGCCAGCAGACCUGGGGUUGUGGCUGUGUCCAAGUGGUGAAGUGUUCCUGCUCACACUGGUAGACGAGGAAGGCAGCCAGCCUGCAGGUCCACGCUGGAUACAGGCAAAGGGGCAAAGGCUCAAAUGCACACUGCCAAGACUUUGCAACACAGAAGAACUCAGGCUCAGCCUGGCCUCAGGCUCCUGGUGGCAGGGCUGUGUCCUUUGCAACUUAAUCAGACCCCUCACGUUUUCUCUUUCCAGUCUGUUCCCGGUCCACAGCUGUUUCCUGCUGCUGUUGCUCACACAGUAGCAGUGAGGAUAUAACACUGGGAACCCUGACAUGUAGCCAUCCCAUAGCUGUUCUGAGUCCCCGGCUCAAACAUUUAAGCCUUUGCCCCAGUGGAAUCCAGGCCCACACUCUCUCCAGGGAAGGAUAUGGCAGUACCUGCAUUCAGGAAAGUUACCCGCCUUUACUUUUAUAAGGACUCUGUGACAGCAGAACUCAGUAUUGUCCCUGCAGAUCUCAGCAAGUGCCAGGCCAUUGAAACAGUGCCUCUUCUCCCUGGGACCUCCUGAAAUCCCGAAGUUUCCCUUAGUUUCCACAGAUUCAGUCUCCCUUUUCAGUGUGCCAGGAGCCAGGGAGGAAGUCCAGACUGUUUUUUUCCUUCUCCACAUUGCAGGCUGUCUCUUCAGCGUCUGUGUACUUUUUAAUUUUCCUGUGAGCCACUUCCUGAUUCCCUGACACCUUCUUCUCCAUUUUUUUUACUUCCUCAGGUUGUUAUAUUUCAGCAUCUCAAUUCUGAGUCUGUGGGAGGCUGAACUGCUGCUGCUCACCACUCCUUCAUUUUCCAGCACAGAACACCUGAAGGUAACCCACAUUCCUGUAAAGAAGGGGCCCACAGAACCUGAGUUGCCCUGU